Molecule: ribosomal RNA, 444 nt
Filed under: uncultured bacterium
Lineage: Bacteria
Description: bacterial SSU rRNA
Rfam family: Bacterial small subunit ribosomal RNA
Source: RNAcentral
GUCGAACGGACGGAAGUAGCAAUACUGAAGUAGUGGCGAACGGGUGAGUAACACGUGAGCAACCUGCCCUAUACACUGGGAUAGCAGUUGGAAACGACUGAUAAUACCGGAUAAGACCACGCUGUCGCAUGACAGGAGGGGUCAAAGCGCUUUAGUGGUAUGGGAUGGGCUCGCGUCCAAUUAGCUAGUUGGUGAGGUAACGGCCCACCAAGGCGACGAUUGGUAGCCGACUUGAGAGAGUGAUCGGCCACACUGGAACUGAGACACGGUCCAGACUCCUACGGGAGGCAGCAGUGGGGAAUAUUGGGCAAUGGAGGAAACUCUUACCAGACAAUGCCGCGUGAGGGAUGGAGGUCCUAUGGAUUGUAAACCUCUUUGAUUAGGGACAAAGAAAGUGAUGGUACCUAAAGAACAAGCCCCGGCUAACUAUGUGCCAGCCGCAGC